UACGUAGGGUGCAAGCGUUAAUCGGAAUUACUGGGCGUAAAGCGUGCGCAGGCGGUCUUGUAAGUUUGUCGUGAAAGCCCCGGGCUCAACCUGGGAAUGGCGAUGAAGACUGCAAGGCUAGAAUCUGGCAGAGGGGGGUAGAAUUCCACGUGUAGCAGUGAAAUGCGUAGAGAUGUGGAGGAACACCGAUGGCGAAGGCAGCCCCCUGGGUCAAGAUUGACGCUCAUGCACGAAAGCGUGGGGAGCAAACAGG
Molecule: ribosomal RNA, 253 nt
Filed under: uncultured bacterium
Lineage: Bacteria
Description: partial 16S ribosomal RNA
Rfam family: Bacterial small subunit ribosomal RNA
Source: RNAcentral